GUGCACGCUGGCGGUCGGCCUAACACAUGCAAGUCGAACGGCAGCACAGUAAGAGCUUGCUCUUACGGGUGGCGAGUGGCGGACGGGUGAGGAGUACAUCGGAAUCUACUUUUUCGUGGGGGAUAACGUAGGGAAACUUACGCUAAUACCGCAUACGACCUACGGGUGAAAGCAGGGGAUCUUCGGACCUUGCGCGAUUGAAUGAGCCGAUGUCGGAUUAGCUAGUUGGCGGGGUAAAGGCCCACCAAGGCGACGAUCCGUAGCUGGUCUGAGAGGAUGAUCAGCCACACUGGAACUGAGACACGGUCCAGACUCCUACGGGAGGCAGCAGUGGGGAAUAUUGGACAAUGGGCGCAAGCCUGAUCCAGCCAUACCGCGUGGGUGAAGAAGGCCUUCGGGUUGUAAAGCCCUUUUGUUGGGAAAGAAAAGCAGCAGGUUAAUACCCCGCUGUUCUGACGGUACCCAAAGAAUAAGCACCGGCUAACUUCGUG
This 491-nucleotide ribosomal RNA is filed under the name uncultured bacterium. RNAcentral's name for it is "partial 16S ribosomal RNA". It matches the Rfam family "Bacterial small subunit ribosomal RNA", at positions 29 to 507 of the family's 1533-position model. The record is from RNAcentral.